This 305-nucleotide ribosomal RNA is filed under the name uncultured bacterium. Its description in RNAcentral is "bacterial SSU rRNA". It matches the Rfam family "Bacterial small subunit ribosomal RNA", at positions 338 to 660 of the family's 1533-position model. The record is from RNAcentral.
CCUACGGGGCGCAGCAGUGGGGGAUAUUGCACAACGGGGGAAACCCUGAUGCAGCGACGCCGCGUGGGUGAAGAAGCGCCUCGGCGCGCAAAGCCCUGUCAGCAGGGAAGAAAAUGACGGUACCUGAAGAAGAAGCCCCGGCUAACUACGUGCCAGCAGCCGCGGUAAUACGUAGGGGGCAAGCGUUAUCCGGAUUUACUGGGUGUAAGGGGAGCGCAGACGGCAAGGCAAGUCUGAUGUGAAAGUCCGAGGCUCAACCUCGGGACUGCAUUGGAAACUGUCUGGCUAGAGUGCAGGAGAGGUAA